UUGCGUAGUUAUUGUGAUUCGCAUAAUGAAUGAGCCGCGAGCGCGCGCGCACUCAACGAGCUCUACCAGUCGCGGCAUGUCAGCCGGCGCGCGACGAACGCGGUCGAUGGAGCUAUGUAAAAUUUACGUCGCUGUCGGCGAACUCGCCAAUCGCUUCGCCGCCGCCGCCGCUCCGGCCGGCCCCGGCGCCGGCGACGACGCCGACUGACUCACAGUGGCCACGCCCAUCAGUUCAAUGUCAUAAGCGCGUGCGCGUAUUCAUCGAUACUACAUGCUUCUAUAUGAACUUGGUUACCCACAACGAGUUCGCGAAAAGUUCAACGCAUUUUUCGUCCAAUGCAUUCCAAAUGGUUACAGAAUGUUGGAAAAUAUUAAACAGUAUAAGAUUCCGAUAAGUCUCGACAAGAAAAAAUAUUAUCACUUUUCAUUACUGACUUCAUUAUUGACAACUUUUCAAGAACAUAGUCCCGAUGAAGAACUUGACGUGCAGACCAAAAUUGACAACUUGCGCCGCAUACGAGUACAUGUGUCGCCGCAGGUUUCUGCACUCAGCACCAACCAAAGUGGAUACAGUUUUGAGUUUGGACAACAACGGUCGCAGCUGACGAUGAUGGUUCUCAUCGAGACAAGUCAUACAAAAUUAAACACUGACUUGACUUGCGGUCGGGCUUUAAUACUAGACAAUAGAAACAAUGUAAGAAGUUUUAAAGCGUUGAAUUUAUUUUUAUGUAAACAUUAAUUUUGUAAAACAUGUACCAUCCUAAACCAGAA
Spodoptera frugiperda (fall armyworm) is the source of this 771-nucleotide long non-coding RNA. RefSeq lists it as uncharacterized. The transcript has 3 exons. The record is from RefSeq and is a predicted model, not a curated record. NCBI's taxonomy places the organism in Eukaryota, Metazoa, Arthropoda, Insecta, Lepidoptera, Noctuidae.